This 1178-nucleotide long non-coding RNA is filed under the name Sus scrofa (pig). RNAcentral describes it as "lncRNA (ENSSSCG00005001288.1)". Lineage: Eukaryota; Metazoa; Chordata; Mammalia; Artiodactyla; Suidae. The record is from RNAcentral.
UCCGAGGGGAAGAGGUCCGUGGAGGGGCCGUCCAGCCUGCAGAGCUGUCCCAUGUGCCAGGCUGACUUCACCCGCGGGCUGGCCCCACUGGACAUCGACGGCCACCUGGCCCGGUGCCUGGCGGAGAACGCGGGAGACGGGUGGUAGCGGCACCCCAGCUGCUAGGCCUCCGCUCCGCGUGCUGAAGUCCUGCUGCAAAAGCGUGUCGGUGCGGGAGCCACGUCUUUUCUCUGGGUCCAGAGCGAAACAGCGGGUCCUUUUUUCUCUUUGGCUGAUGCUGCGCAGGGCGCUGGCUGAGGUGGACAGGCCACUCGGCAGACGACCAGCCCCAGGCAGGCGGCAGGGAUCCUGUCCCGAGCAGUGUGGGUAUCUGUGCCGGAGCUGGCGCAAGGGCACACGUCCUGCUGGCUGCAUGGGCUCAGCUCACAUCUCAUGACCGUGUUCUGAUCCCCUGGGUGAAUCUGUUCCUUUUGCAGCCGCAGGUGCCUGUCAGUGCCUGCAGCAGCUUCCCCGUGAGUUGGGACCUUAAGGGUGGGACCUGGCCAGCCGGUGACACCUCCUGCUUGGCCGUGUUUUGUGCAGACUCUGUGCGGCUGGGAAAUGGGGCCAGAGCGGGUGGAGGUGGUUUUCCUUCGCGGGCUGUCAGCCCACGGGUUCUGGAAGUGCCUUGUCUCCACCUCCGCCACGUGGCCGCGGCCCUGGCAGCAGGACGGGCAGGAAGGGAAGGCCAGGCUUCUUCCAGAAGCUGUAUUUUCCUUUCAAAGACACCUUCUGAGGGGCCGCGAGAAGACAUGGGGGAAGCGGAAGGGCAGUUACUCAGCCAGAGACGUGGCCUAAAGAGGCUGCCUGCUGUGUGAGUCCCAGUGCAGGACGUUCUAGAAAAGGCAAAACUGCGGAGAUGCUACCAAGCUCAGUCGCUGCCAGGGCUUAGGGAGGAGUGGGCGGUCUGCAGGCAGAGCGCAGGGUUUGGGGGCAGUGAAAAUACCCUGGGUUACAGGGGUGUUUCCACGACACGCGUGUCAAACAUGGGUCCAAACCACAGACCCUGUGACCCAGAUGUCAGUGCCCCUUCUGCGGGCUGGGGACGAGGACAGGGGCCCCGAGGACUCUGUACCCUCCCCUCACUUUUGCUGUGAACCUAAAACUGCUCUAAAGAAUAAAAUCUUUCUUAAAAAACA